UACGUAGGUGGCAAGCGUUGUCCGGAAUUACUGGGCGUAAAGCGCGCGUAGGUGGUUUGGUAAGAUGGAUGUGAAAUCCCCGGGCUCAACCUGGGAACUGCAUCCAUAACUGCCUGACUAGAGUACGGUAGAGGGUGGUGGAAUUUCCUGUGUAGCGGUGAAAUGCGUAGAUAUAGGAAGGAACACCAGUGGCGAAGGCGACCACCUGGAUUGACCCUGACACUGAGGCGCGAAAGCGUGGGGAGCAAACAGG
RNAcentral lists this ribosomal RNA (253 nucleotides) under uncultured bacterium. RNAcentral's name for it is "partial 16S ribosomal RNA". It matches the Rfam family "Bacterial small subunit ribosomal RNA", at positions 524 to 776 of the family's 1533-position model. The record is from RNAcentral.